AUUUUAGGNUUUUCUGCUCAUGAAAUUUAAAUGGCCGCAGUACUUUGACUGUGCUAAGGUAGCAUAAUCAAUUGUCUUUUAAUUGGAGACUAGAAUGAAUGAAUUUAUGGUUAAAUUCUUUAUUUAUAUAUUUUAUUAAAAUUUAUUUAUUAGGUGAAAAUACCUAAAAUAAUUUAUUAGACGAGAAGACCCCAGGAAUUUAAUUUUUUUUUAUUGGGGCGAUAUCUAAACAUUAACAAAAUAACUUUAGAUUUUAUUAAAUAAAACGAAGAUUUUUUAAUUAAAAAUAAAUUACCCUGGGGAUAACAGCAUAAUUUUUUAUAAAGAUUGUGACCUCGAUGUUGGAUUAGAAAAAAAUUUUACUUAAAGAGUAAUUUUUUAUGUUCUGUUCGAACAAUAAUAAUUUUUCUACGUGAUCUGAGUUCCAACC
Molecule: ribosomal RNA, 430 nt
Filed under: Succinea caduca
Lineage: Eukaryota; Metazoa; Mollusca; Gastropoda; Stylommatophora; Succineidae
Description: partial 16S ribosomal RNA
Source: RNAcentral